AAAAACUUUUAGCAAGGAAAGCAUAAAUAAACAGGCAAAAUAUGAAGAGGAACAGUUAAAGAAAGAACUAGAGUAUUCAAUAGAAUCAAAGAAAAAUCCAUCAGCAUUUAAAUAAUUUCCCAACAUCACACCACCAAAACCAAUGAUGGAAACAUCAACCACAAUGCUAUCUAUGAAAGAAAAUGCACAUUGGGCCAAAUAUCA
RNAcentral lists this unclassified non-coding RNA (204 nucleotides) under Hevea brasiliensis (rubber tree). The record is from RNAcentral. Lineage: Eukaryota; Viridiplantae; Streptophyta; Magnoliopsida; Malpighiales; Euphorbiaceae.